Molecule: ribosomal RNA, 836 nt
Filed under: uncultured bacterium
Lineage: Bacteria
Description: bacterial SSU rRNA
Rfam family: Bacterial small subunit ribosomal RNA
Source: RNAcentral
CCUAACACAUGCAAGUCGAACGGUUAAGGCGCCCUUCGGGGCGCGUAUAGAGUGGCGAACGGCUGAGUAACACGUGGGCAACCUGCCCCCCGCACCGGGACAGCCUCGGGAAACCGUGGGUAAUACCGGGUACUCCGCCACCCCCGCAUGGGGGAGGCGGGAGAGCGUAUGCGGCGGGGGAUGGGCCCGCGGCCUGUUAGCUAGUUGGCGGGGCAACGGCCCACCAAGGCGAUUAUGGGUAGCUGGGUUGAGAGACCGACCAGCCAGAUUGGGACUGAGACACGGCCCAGACUCCUACGGGAGGCAGCAGUGGGGAAUCUUGCGCAAUGGGGGCAACCCUGACGCAGCGACGCCGCGUGCGGGACGAAGGCCUUCGGGUCGUAACCGCUUUCAGCAGGGACGAGGCCGAAAGGUGACGGUACCUGCAGAAGAAGCCCCGGCUAACUACGUGCCAGCAGCCGCGGUAAUACGUAGGGGGCGAGCGUUAUCCGGAUUCAUUGGGCGUAAAGCGCUCGUAGGCUGCCCGCUAGGUCCGGGGUCAAAUCCGGGGGCUCAACCCCCGCACGCCCCGGAUACCGGCGGGCUUGAGUCGGGUAGGGGAAGGCGGAAUUCCAGGUGUAGCGGUGGAAUGCGCAGAUAUCUGGAAGAACACCGGUGGCGAAGGCGGCCUUCUGGGCCUCGACUGACGCUGAGGAGCGAAAGCUGGGGGAGCGAACAGGAUUAGAUACCCUGGUAGUCCCAGCCGUAAACGAUGGACGCUAGGUGUGGGGGGAGAUGCCCUCCGUGCCGCAGCCAACGCAUUAAGCGUCCCGCCUGGGGAGUACGGCCGCAAGGCU